UGAAUUAGAAAAGGACUAAUCCUGUCUGGUAAACAGGAGAUCCUGGGUUCAAAUCCCAGCA
Molecule: transfer RNA, 61 nt
Filed under: Dryobates pubescens (Downy woodpecker)
Lineage: Eukaryota; Metazoa; Chordata; Aves; Piciformes; Picidae
Description: Picoides pubescens (downy woodpecker) tRNA
Rfam family: tRNA
About the family: Transfer RNA (tRNA) molecules are approximately 80 nucleotides in length. Their secondary structure includes four short double-helical elements and three loops (D, anti-codon, and T loops).
Source: Rfam by way of RNAcentral